Molecule: long non-coding RNA, 1378 nt
Filed under: Callithrix jacchus (white-tufted-ear marmoset)
Lineage: Eukaryota; Metazoa; Chordata; Mammalia; Primates; Cebidae
Description: lncRNA (ENSCJAG00000065920.2)
Source: RNAcentral
CCGCUUGAGUGGAAUUCAUUAGAAAUUAACUACCACUUAAAUUAAUUUUCCCACAGUCACAAGGCUGUAAUGGCGGGAGAAGGGGCCGUCCAUCAGUGGGUGCUGACAGGGGACCUGUCACCGCCGUUAUUUAUAGGUGCGUGUGUCAACCCCUAGAGCAGGCGCCGGGCCAAACUCAGAGCCUCCGGACUGACAAAGCCACUUCAAAGGCCCGAAAAUUCCCGUGUGGAUAAGUAAUCCAGCCUUGCCGAGCCUGGCCCUUCCAGGGCCCGGAGGAGGGGCAACCUGGGCGAUGCUGACAGACCAGAGGGACCCGUCUUUGUUUCAAACCCACACUGGGACACACAAGUCCUUGCAAGCUGGUGAGAGUCCUCGUGGCCUUUUCAAAGGGCAGGGGACCGCCUCCGGAGCUCUGGGUCCAGAGUCCAGUUUUGGACAAACCGUGCCUGGCUGUUUCUUAGGAAUCUCUGGGUACAGGGCCCUCUCCAGGGGAAAAGCUUGCAAGGAACAAGUGGAUCUCAUGUGGAAAGGCAGAGCAUGUGUGGACAGUGAAAGCACAAAAAAGGCUGCAGCAUUUCUGGGGCUUCUGCUUCUAUGGUUGAGCGCAUAUUUGAUUCGGAACCGGUGGGCCAUGAUCAACGUGAGUUUCCUGAGACGAGACUGGUGCUUGCACGGGAAAUGGGUCACAGCACCCAAGGGCAAUGGUGCAAUGGCAGAAUCGCUCCAAGGCUGAGCGCAUAUUUGAUUCGGAACCGGUGGGCCAUGAUCAACGUGAGUUUCCUGAGACGAGACUGGUGCUUGCACGGGAAAUGGGUCACAGCACCCAAGGGCAAUGGUGCAAUGGCAGAAUCGCUCCAAGGCUGAAAGGCUCUGAAGCGAUCACCCCAAGUUCUGUGAGAGGCCUUAUGAACCCUUGCCAAGGAGACUGACAUUAUUUAGGUGUGGUCUGGGGGUGGACCAGCUGAGGUAUGCGGGGUUCUUCUGAGGGCUACGUCGGGUGACAGUUUAUUUCCUGCUAAGACACAGCACUGUCGGUGCACGAACCCGCAGCUGCAUGGAGACCCCCUCCAGGCUCCUGAGCAGGGGUGCCUGCAGUUCCCACCCGGGCCCCACAUGUGGGGAGGGGAUGGCUGGAUCAGGAACAGCCACAUGCAGCCCCAGAGAUCAGGGGACUUGGCCACGGCAGUCUCACGCCAGCUCAGCAGCCCCGCCACAGCUACAUGGCCCCAGUGACAGGCCACCUCAGCAGGGAACCAGGUGGGCGACCAGGCCCCGGAGCUUCCCUCCUGGCCUCAGCAGCUGCAGUCCUGCUCCACCAGAAGUGCCUUCUCAGGUGCGAGUCCAGAAAGUUUUGGGGACCAAAAAGUCACACCAGCAU